Molecule: long non-coding RNA, 2811 nt
Filed under: Sorghum bicolor (sorghum)
Lineage: Eukaryota; Viridiplantae; Streptophyta; Magnoliopsida; Poales; Poaceae
Description: long non-coding RNA (SBIC_LNC013407)
Source: RNAcentral
CAGUCCUCGGCCAGCAGUGGCGGCAUCCCCGGCCGCCUAGCAGCCAUACACGGCCGUCCACAACCCUAAAACGAGGUGAGUUAGACGACUGUUGAUUGGAGUUACACAUACUUUCAAAUCUUGGUGCAUAUAUUCAAAACAAGCACAUGCGAAACUGAUUUAUUGGUUUCUUAACUUAUAGGACAUUCUAUUUCAUUUAAUUGUAGGAGUUUUUUUGUGCAGCAUUAGAUUAUUGGAACUCGACGUAUUUGCAGUAUCUCAUCCCUAGCAUGCAGACACAAUUGUUUUUGAGUUAGUUUGAUUGUUGUGUUAAUUACUAUUAACUUUGCUUUUCACUAGGCUGUUAACUAAUUUGGUCAUGCAAAACUAAUUUGGUCAUGCAGGUCAGGUUGUUCACUAGGCAGUCAAUCUUCUCAAGUUCUGUCAGUUUUACCGUCUUUUCAGUGGUCUUGGUUGGAUCUUCUUUCUGUUUGUGUUCCCAUGACUUUCUAGGUAAGCAUCCAAAGAACCAAACUCUUUGUAGAUCUAUUGUGUUGCUAUCCCAAUCAAAUAUUUUUUUUAUCUCACAACAUCACUGGAGAUUAUUUUUAUUAUUCAAUCUUGAUGGCUAAUACCUGAUGAAUAGAUGAAAAACAUCACAUAAAUAUGCUUGGUAAUUUAUUGCUUAUUGCUCCUAAAAAGACAAGCCAGUAGACUGUAAAGGUUUUCUUUUUGCACUUUGGAUGCUUAAUCUAAAGAGAAGAUGCUUAUUGCAUGUUUCUGACCAAAAGAGUUACAAGUUUUCUGAUUUAAACAAGCUGAAUAUAUAGGAUCAACCUUAAUGAGUCAUUUUGUGAAAUAAAUUACCAUUCUCAUAACUGAAAGAUCUCAAUUUAUAGAUCUUGUCCACCGAAUCAUAUAUCCUCGCUGAGCUAUGAGAAUUGAGAAAGUACCAAGAGGCCUUUAUAAAUGAAUUAUAUAAAACAAACACUUGCAGCAUGAAAAAUAGAUAAAACAAUUAAUUGGGAACAAGCAGGAUCGGUAUUGUGGCUACUAACUAUCAUAAGAAGCUAAUGCCAAAACACAAAUGAAUUAAAUAAAACUUUCAGAGUCCACACUGGCUUCAUUAACCAACACAAAAACUAGCAGUGAACAAAUUAAACUACUUAAUAGCAGGGCAUUCCAACUAGGAGGAAGGUGAAGCCAUACCUCGAAGUGAGGGUGUUGGGUGUGGCGCUGUGGGGCUCUGGCACCGUGGCGGCUGCAACACCUUGGGUUUCUGCCUCUGCCGAGGUAUGCAGAUUUAGGAAGGGAUGAGGUCGGGGGUGGUUUGUGCUUCUUGCCGGUGGAGACUUGCACGGCCUGGUUUCAUGCCAGCGGCCUCCUGCCCACCAUGCCUUCUACCCAAAACCCUGUCCACGUACAUGGACCACGAUGAUGGGUUUUGCAGCUGAGGAAGCGGUUGGUCGAGCACUGGCUCAAUGGGGGUGGUGGUGUGAGCACGACGCGGAGGGGGACGCUGCAAGCACGAGGGAGAGGCACGCUGAAAAUAGGUCCUAUUCGUGAGAAAUCUUAGCGGGUGUUGUGUCCAUUCGUGCAUAGGGUAAUUAUGCAUAUGAAAAAAAUCUAUUCUGUCCAUAGUAAAGUCAAUGGAGACGAAUAUUCUUUCCAGCCAUUGCAAACCUUUGAUCAAAAUGCUUAAUACACAAAUACUAAGGAUAUCAAAUUUUGUGCACAUAUCUAGGUGAAUGAAAAAUCUCUCACAACAAAUUACCUUGCAAUGAAGACAAAUCUUAAUCUCUUGUCAAGAUAUCUUCAGUAUGUGCGCAAUGUGGAACUCAUGGGAAUAAGAAUGUUUGCCUCUGCUUUCAUUGACACCACGAAUUAAGUCCAUUCUUGGGCCAAUCCAAUUGAAAGGUCUCGCGAUUGUGAAUUCAAGGCCAUUUUUCGUGCCUUCAGCUGCCAGAUACUCAAAUGAUAACAACAGCAAGUGUUAUAACAAGAAGAGGACCAUCAACUGUACAGUGGCAAAACAUAAGACAAUUUACUUUAUUGACCAACUAUCAGGCUCUCGAUAAGCUGCUUUGCGCAUGCAUAGGACCAUCGUUGUAUCACGAUUGGACCAAAAAUAAAGGGUGACUCAUCUUCUUUCAGAACAUAAAAUUCAGGAUAAAUGCUAAUAUCUUCUUCCAUAAGGACUCUUACAAAAGAACAUCUGAGACCUACUUCAAUCAAGUUCAGCAAUAUGUUCAUGAAUGUUUGACCAGUGAACUUUUAAUGACGUAUUAGCUAAUAAUAUUUAGUUAAAAUGCCUAAGAGAGAAUGGUGUUUAUACUUAAUAGAAAGUUAAUUGAUUUACCAGUUCAGCUAUCCAAAUCUAAAGAGUUUUUUUUAAAUACCCCGCACAUCUCAAUGUCCUAUACAUAGCAACUCCGGUACAAAUCUUACUUGAUUUAUAUGGUACAAUUCAUUUCACUGAUCUAAGCAAGCUUAUAAAAAUAAAGCACCAGGUGUACACGACAGUAAUGUCCUUUUCCAAGAUUAAAACACCUACGCAUUGACAAAUAGGCUGGACCACCUCAAUCCAGUUUUGAGGCAUAAAUUCAAACCAUAUAACUAGGAGUCUGCAAUAAACAAUACCAAUCUUGAAUCUCAUUGUGCAAGAUAGAAGUUAUAUAAUACUUAUCUAGCAAUCUAAGUCAAGCAGAGCAGCUCACCUUACCGAACAUGGGACAGAGAAUCGGGAUGAUGGCACCGAAGAUGGGGGCGGCCACAACGAGAUGCAGGGGAUGGAGUAGCUCAGGCUUCGGGGAUGGAUGCGGGUGUACAACA